GAUGAACGCUGGCGGCGUGCCUAAUACAUGCAAGUCGAGCGAAUGGAUUAAGAGCUUGCUCUUAUGAAGUUAGCGGCGGACGGGUGAGUAACACGUGGGUAACCUGCCCAUAAGACUGGGAUAACUCCGGGAAACCGGGGCUAAUACCGGAUAACAUUUUGAACCGCAUGGUUCGAAAUUGAAAGGCGGCUUCGGCUGUCACUCAUGGAUGGACCCGCGUCGCAUUAGCUAGUUGGUGAGGUAACGGCUCACAAAGGCAACGAUGCGUAGCCGACCUGAGAGGGUGAUCGGCCACACUGGGACUGAGACACGGCCCAGACUCCUACGGGAGGCAGCAGUAGGGAAUCUUCCGCAAUGGACGAAAGUCUGACGGAGCAACGCCGCGUGAGUGAUGAAGGCUUUCGGGUCGUAAAACUCUGUUGUUAGGGAAGAACAAGUGCUAGUUGAAUAAGCUGACACCUUGACGGUACCUAACCAGAAUGCCACGGCUAACUACGUGCCAGCCGCCGCCGUAA
Molecule: ribosomal RNA, 515 nt
Filed under: uncultured bacterium
Lineage: Bacteria
Description: partial 16S ribosomal RNA
Rfam family: Bacterial small subunit ribosomal RNA
Source: RNAcentral